This 730-nucleotide ribosomal RNA is filed under the name Candidatus Tremblayella phenacoccinincola. Its description in RNAcentral is "bacterial SSU rRNA". It matches the Rfam family "Bacterial small subunit ribosomal RNA", at positions 658 to 1382 of the family's 1533-position model. The record is from RNAcentral. Lineage: Bacteria; Pseudomonadati; Pseudomonadota; Betaproteobacteria.
GGGAUAGAAUUCCAGGAGUAGCGGUGAAAUGCGUAGAUAUCUGGAGGAAUACCAAAGGCGAAGGCAGUCCCCUGGUCCGAUACUGACACUGAGGUACGAAAGCGUGGGGAGCAAACAGGAUUAGAUACCCUGGUAGUCCACGCCCUAAACGAUGUCGAUUAGCCAUUGGAAGGACCCCUUUUCCUUUCAGUGACGUAGCUAACGCGUUAAAUCGACCGCCUGGGAAGUACGACCGCAAGGGUUAAAACUCAAAGGAAUUGACGGGGACCUGAACAAGCGGUGAAUGAUGUGGAUUAAUUCGAUGCUACGCGAAGAACCUUACCUACCUUUGACAUGGCCAAAGUUCUACCGAGAGGCGGAAGUACUCGUAAGAGGAUUGGCGCACAGGUGCUGCAUGGUUGUCGUCAGUUCGUGUCGUGAGAUGUUGGGUUCAGUCCCGCAACGAACGCAACCCUUAUCUUUAAUUGCUCCUAUUUUAACAGGCACUUUAAAGAAACUGCCAAUGAUAAGUUGGAGGAAGGUGGGGAUCACGUCAAGUCCGCAUGGCCUUUAUAGGUAGGGCUUCACACGUCAUACAAUGGUUAGAACAAAGAGCUGCAAAUUCGUAAGAAGGAGCCAAUCUCACAAACCUAACCUCAGUUCGAAUUGCGGUCUGCAACUCGAGCGCAUGAAGCCGGAAUCGCUAGUAAUCGUGGAUCAGAAUGCCACGGUGAAUACGUUCUUAGGUCUU